GAUGAACGCUGGCGGCGUGCUUAACACAUGCAAGUCGAACGAAGCACUUGUUCACGAUCCCUUCGGGGUGACGAGCUUGUGACUGAGUGGCGGACGGGUGAGUAACGCGUGGGUAACCUGCCUCAUACAGGGGGAUAACAGUUGGAAACGACUGCUAAUACCGCAUAAGCCCACGACCUCGCAUGAGGUUGUGAGAAAAACUCCGGUGGUAUGAGAUGGACCCGCGUUAGAUUAGCUUGUUGGUGGGGUAACGGCCCACCAAGGCGACGAUCCAUAGCCGACCUGAGAGGGUGACCGGCCACAUUGGGACUGAGACACGGCCCAA
RNAcentral lists this ribosomal RNA (325 nucleotides) under uncultured bacterium. Its description in RNAcentral is "bacterial SSU rRNA". It matches the Rfam family "Bacterial small subunit ribosomal RNA", at positions 28 to 334 of the family's 1533-position model. The record is from RNAcentral.